This is a long non-coding RNA of Odontomachus brunneus, 1071 nucleotides long. RefSeq lists it as uncharacterized. The transcript has 2 exons. The record is from RefSeq and is a predicted model, not a curated record. NCBI's taxonomy places the organism in Eukaryota, Metazoa, Arthropoda, Insecta, Hymenoptera, Formicidae.
UUGGACUGUGUCCAAUUGCCCCGUGUCCAACUGAUAUACACUCGGAUGUCGUUUGUCGUUUGUCGUACAUUGAAUGUCGGAUCUGAAUACGACUUGCCGUUCUACAAUUGAGUCGUAAGUCGCUGCAACAAGAAAUUACAAUUACAAAAAUGGAAAGUAAAGUAUUGCUGAAUUAUUUGAAUCUGUUAUUAGUUUUGUUACAUAUUACAAAAAUUAGAUUACAUUUAAGAAAUAGACGUAAAAUAACAAGAAAGUAGUGGGUAAAACCACAUAUUUCAAGAAAUAUAAGAAACAAUUUUGGUGCUCAUCGAACAUUAUUUACAUGUUUUCGAACGAAUGAUCAUGAGGAGUUUUUUAAACUUACAAGGAUAUCCGUGCAACAAUUUGAUCACAUGAUCUUUUAAAAUUAAAGUUAAAAAAAAGAAGUAACAGAGAAUCUUUGCCAACGGAGAUACGUAUUGCAGUGACUUUGAGAUAGGAAGAUCGACUGUAUAAUAUUAUUCCUGAAGUGUGUAAUGCAAUAUGGGAAGUGUUACAAGAAACAUAUCUUUGAUGUCCACAAGAAGAGAAUGAAUGGCUAAAAAUAGCAGAUGACUUCAAUAAUAUGUGGGAUUUCUCAAAUUAUAUCGAGGCAAUUGAUGGGAAGCGAUUUUCAAAGUUUCGGAAAUGCUUUUCCACACAUCCUUUUUUUCCUAAUACUUUGAAAUCUACAUUACAUUUAUCAUAUAAACAAUAAUUUUCGUGCACAAAAUCAAUAAUUAUUUCAUCUAGAUUUGUAUAUUCCAUGAUGAAAAUAAGAGGUUAUAUUGUAUAUAAUAGUCGUACAAUCGAAAGUCGGAUAUCGGAAAAGAUGAGAGUUGACCAACUCUUGUUACGAUAACGACAACCGACUUCCGACAGCUUUAUACGACAGCCGAGAACCGAGUGUGCAUGCGUCCGACAUCCGACGCCGACAUACGACGCAUUGUAGAACAGGCCUUAGUGUCACAUAGUGUCCGAUAUACGAACGUAUGAUAUCCAAUAAAAAAACAUCUUUCCAAUAAAGGAUUGAAGUCUCUAUGAGAAAGAUUA